Molecule: non-coding RNA, 23 nt
Filed under: Arabidopsis thaliana (thale cress)
Lineage: Eukaryota; Viridiplantae; Streptophyta; Magnoliopsida; Brassicales; Brassicaceae
Source: RNAcentral
GAGACCAUGGAGAGACUCGGCAU